GAGACGACGAGGUCCGGCCGGCAUCGCUCGAUCGCCGGCAGGAUCGUUGCCGGCUCUGU
RNAcentral lists this small RNA (59 nucleotides) under Sinorhizobium meliloti 2011. RNAcentral describes it as "putative ncRNA". The record is from RNAcentral. Lineage: Bacteria; Pseudomonadati; Pseudomonadota; Alphaproteobacteria; Hyphomicrobiales; Rhizobiaceae.